RNAcentral lists this ribosomal RNA (153 nucleotides) under Leucocybe connata. RNAcentral describes it as "5.8S ribosomal RNA". The stretch from base 57 to 153 matches the Rfam family "5.8S ribosomal RNA", at positions 1 to 97 of the family's 154-position model. Rfam says of the family: 5.8S ribosomal RNA (5.8S rRNA) is a component of the large subunit of the eukaryotic ribosome. The record is from RNAcentral. Lineage: Eukaryota; Fungi; Basidiomycota; Agaricomycetes; Agaricales; Lyophyllaceae.
CCCACAAGAAUGUAACAGAAUGUCAUUAAUGGCCUUUGUGCCUUUAAAUAAAAUACAACUUUCAACAACGGAUCUCUUGGCUCUCGCAUCGAUGAAGAACGCAGCGAAAUGCGAUAAGUAAUGUGAAUUGCAGAAUUCAGUGAAUCAUCGAAU